RNAcentral lists this long non-coding RNA (619 nucleotides) under Mus spicilegus (steppe mouse). RNAcentral describes it as "lncRNA (ENSMSIG00000005868.1)". The record is from RNAcentral. Lineage: Eukaryota; Metazoa; Chordata; Mammalia; Rodentia; Muridae.
CGACCCCCACCCCCUCUCUCUUUAGCAUGUAUCCCUGAAUGUCUUACUUCUCUGGUGAGAUCUUUUCUCUCCAUUUCCUCAAGGCUGGCUUGCUGGUGCCAGGCCCCAGGCUGGACUGUGCUUGUAGACCAGUAGGGAGGAGGCCAGUGUGAGCUGGUUGGGGCCAGGAUCUGCUUCCCCUGCAACCUGGUUGCAAUUGUUCCCACUAUGCAGUCACAGCUAUAACCAGCAGCUGGAUGCAGUUUUCCUGGGCUCCUGGGCCUAGGUAAAGGAAUGGAGUCCGGCCUGGUGUGUCAGCGUGUGUGAACUUCGGGCCACAGACCGUAAUGGUUUCCGCAUGAGCUGGAGGACCCUGGGCCCUGCCACCAUCAUGUCCUUUCCUAGCAUGGCAACCUGCCCUGAGCCCAAUCCUCAGCGAUGCUGAGACAUCUACUACUCAACCCCAACUCUCGACAAGCCUCUUUCCUGCCCAGAAGACAUGCCUCUCUGCCGAGGUGGAGAGUCAGAGCAGGGAUUGCCCUUGGGCUCAAACCAUGAGAGCAGCCGGGCUGCAGCUGGGGAAGGCCACAAGUCUCCUGGGCCCAGCUGGCUCCUGGCCCAUAUCCAGCCUGGCCACAGC